Prunus mume (Japanese apricot) is the source of this 1407-nucleotide RNA transcript. It is a transcript of the gene named putative aldo-keto reductase 2, with no coding region annotated. The record is from RefSeq and is a predicted model, not a curated record. Lineage: Eukaryota; Viridiplantae; Streptophyta; Magnoliopsida; Rosales; Rosaceae.
GGUGGAAUAAGUAUCUUUUCGAAAGAAAAAAAAAAACAAGAAAAGUCAAUGGGAGAGAUGCUCUGGAGCCGGCAAGUUUGAAUUAUUGCUGAUUGGCGAGCUCGUUUGAAGUUUCCACUUUCUGCAGAUAUAAAUGUACGAACCAAACUGAAACAACCACAGAGAGCAAAUGGCAGGAGGAGUGAGGAGGAUCAAGUUGGGUUCACAAGGCCUUGAGGUCUCUGCUCAAGGCCUGGGAUGUAUGAGCAUGUCUGCCUUCUAUGGCGCUCCGAAGCCCGACGCAGACAUGAUCAGUCUCAUCCACCAUGCUAUUGACUCCGGAGUCACCUUCCUCGAUACCUCUGACAUCUACGGCCCCUUCACCAACGAAAUUCUUCUUGGCAAGGCUCUGAAGGGUGGGGUACGAGAGAAGGUUGAAUUGGCCACCAAGUUUGGUAUCAGCUUUGCUGAUAACAAGCCGGAGGUUCGAGGUGAUCCUGCAUAUGUGAGAGCUGCUAUUGAGGGUAGCUUGAAGCGCCUUGGUGUUGAUUCUGUUGAUCUCUAUUAUCAGCAUCGGAUUGAUACCCGUGUACCCAUUGAAGUCACGGUUGGGGAACUCAAGAAACUAGUUGAAGAAGGUAAGGUAAAGUACAUUGGACUAUCCGAGGCCUCUGCUUCCACAAUAAGAAGAGCACACGCUGUUCAUCCAAUAACAGCUGUGCAGUUGGAGUGGUCGUUGUGGUCAAGAGAUGUGGAGGAAGAUAUAAUUCCUACUUGCCGGGAACUUGGCAUCGGCAUUGUUGCAUACAGUCCUCUAGGAAGAGGAUUCUUUUCAUCAGGAGCUAAGUUGUUUGAAAAUCUUCCCAAUGAUGAUGUCCGAAAGUAUCUACCUAGGUUCCAAGCCGAAAACCUAGAGCAUAAUAAAACAAUAUUCGAGCGGGUUAGUGAUCUUGCAGCAAGGAAGGGGUGCACCCCAUCUCAGCUAGCACUGGCCUGGGUUCAUCAUCAAGGAAACGAUGUGUCCGAUACCCGGAACCACCAAGAUUGAGAAUUUUAACCAGAACAUUGGUGCUCUCUCUGUGAAACUGACACCAGAAGAACUGGCUGAGCUUGAAUCUUUUGCUUCUGCUGAUGCCGUUAAAGGUGACAGAUAUCAGAAUGACUUUAGUACUUGGAAGAACUCUGAAACUCCUCCAGUGUCUUCAUGGAAAGCCGCAUGAGCAUGUGCCUUUUGUCAUGCCAUAAUGCUUCUUUGUACCCCAUGAGCUUUGUAAAUUUCUUUCCCGUUAUGAGAAUAAGUAGUUCAUGUGAAGUGGUAUGUAAUGACUGACUUUGAGACGUUUGUCAUUUUGUAAGCAGAUUUCAUCAUGUUGUAUGAGUAUCUAAAAGUAUGAAAUAAUCUGGGGUCAAACGAAGUUUUUCAUUUUA